Molecule: long non-coding RNA, 1884 nt
Organism: Rosa chinensis
Lineage: Eukaryota; Viridiplantae; Streptophyta; Magnoliopsida; Rosales; Rosaceae
Exons: 5
Source: RefSeq, a predicted model, not a curated record
UCUAUUGCAAUAUGGUUUAUAUUGGAUAUCUCUCAAUUCUCUCCAUCAUGGUUUCAUAGAAGCCAUUUAUUUCCUUCUUGAAAAAAAUUCAUUUAAGCUUGCAAUAUGGUUUGGAUUGGAUAUCUCUCCAUCAUGAAUUUAGUAAAUUGUUUUGCCUUUGCUUCUUUUCUCUUAAUGCUUUUAAGCUUGCAUGCCCUUUGUUUUUAUAUUGUGUUGUACAUGCUUCUUUUAUAAUGAAGUUUGUUUGUUAUCAAGAAGGAAAAAAUAAAAGCCUAUGAGCAAAGAGGAACCAAUGACUGAAUCAUGUUGCAUACAUAUUGUUGAAUUUAAUUCUAACAUGGUAGAUGUAUUAUUUGAAGAAAGUAUCUAGUGUGACCUACUGGUUCUAUGGCAAUAAGUUGCCAGCUUGAUAUGUGGAGCUGUACUCUUAGAAUACAGAUAUUACGAUCAAGAUAAAUUGAUGUAAUAAGUUGCAGAUACCAGUGAGAAAGUGGAACAGAGGUUAAUUACAACAAAAACUGCAUAUGUCAAAUAUAUCACAUUUCUGUUCUAAAAUCACAAGGGUAUGUUCAAGGCAGUUCCAAUGGUUGACGAAAAUAUUGAGUCAUGUUUUAGUAGUUGAUGAAUGUUGUGCUCAUCUGCCCUUGGAUUUGAAUUUAAAGGUGGAGAAUAAUGAGGCAAAUAAACACAUUGUGCGUCUUCAAGAACUCAAGUUUCCUUGCAGUGCAGAACGUGUUUAUUAUUAUAAUAUUUAGAUAGAAGUCCAGGUUUUAUAUUAUCCAGUUUGGUUUGAGCAUAGUGCACCAGUCUUUUCUGCGUUAUUUUUUUUUGUUGGAUAGCAAGAUAUAUACAGGUGCAACUAACUGGUGUGGGCACGUUAGCUAGAACACCACCAUUGACUUUGUGUCUACUUAAUUUAUAUGCCUGGCCUAUGUUUAUGUCAAGUUGCAGACUUGCAGAUGUUGAUGUAGUAAAAAAUAAAAGAUAUCUGGCUGUGCUUGAUUUAUAAUAAAAGAAAAUGGCUUUGCAGUAGUUGAUUUAUUAAAUAAAGACUUGAAGUAGUACAUAAUGUGUGUGUGUGUGAGAGAGUGAGAGAGAGAGAGAGAGAGAGAGAGAGAGAGAGAGAGAGAGAGAAAUAGCAGCAGCAGAGGAAACCAGUAAGUCAUCUGAAGCUUUUCGAAUGAAAGGUGGAGAUGGACCCAACAGCUAUGCCAAAAACUCCAUACAUCAGGGGUGAGAUCUGUAUACUAAGGAAAAGGUGUUGGAGGAGGGUUCUUGAGCUCAUGCUUAAUUGCUGGCUGAGGAUAUACCCCUCAAGCAGAUGGAUGGAAAAGGAAGGGAAGAGUAGUAAAAGUAGAGUCAAAGUUUGUGCUUCAUAUUUGCUAGCUAUACAUUAGUACCUCACGCACAAACAUAUGAGCAUGUAUUUUAGCCCUGGAGAGGCAGUAAUUGUUGCUCAAGAAGUUAUCAAUACAAUGGCUGCGAAGGGAUAUGAUCUGGGACAAGAUGCAUUAAUAAAGGCCAAAAGCUUCUGAUGAGUCCUACCAAGUAUCAGCUACUACAGCAGCCAAGGUUUACAGUUACUUCAUAAAACUAUAUUUUUCUCUUUACAGAUGGGAGAGUUAUCAAGCUAACACCUCCAUUGAUCUGAGCAAGCACCAUAUGCCCAUAAUGUAGUUGAGAUAGAGAAAAAAAAGCUUUCCAAUCACCAAGUUUGUAUUUCAAUUUAUAUUUUUCAUAUCAUACAUGAGCUUUUUGUAUUUUAGAAUUUUGAACAUUGCUCAGAUGUAUGACCUUCAUUUCUUUAAAACUUAAUUAUCUUGUAAACUUUCGUAUAACCUUCAUUUCUUUUGUAACAUUCAUGAAUGUAUCAUUCCCUUUUGU